UACGUAGGGUGCAAGCGUUGUCCGGAAUUAUUGGGCGUAAAGAGCUCGUAGGCGGUUUGUCGCGUCUGCUGUGAAAACCCGAGGCUCAACCUCGGGCCUGCAGUGGAUACGGGCGGACUAGAGUGCUGUAGGGGAGAAUGGAAUUCCUGGUGUAGCGGUGAAAUGCGCAGAUAUCAGGAGGAACACCGGUGGCGAAGGCGGUUCUCUGGGCAGUAACUGACGCUGAGGAGCGAAAGCGUGGGGAGCGAACAGG
RNAcentral lists this ribosomal RNA (253 nucleotides) under uncultured bacterium. Its description in RNAcentral is "partial 16S ribosomal RNA". It matches the Rfam family "Bacterial small subunit ribosomal RNA", at positions 524 to 776 of the family's 1533-position model. The record is from RNAcentral.